RNAcentral lists this transfer RNA (73 nucleotides) under Felis catus (domestic cat). It matches the Rfam family "tRNA". From Rfam's summary of the family: Transfer RNA (tRNA) molecules are approximately 80 nucleotides in length. Their secondary structure includes four short double-helical elements and three loops (D, anti-codon, and T loops). Lineage: Eukaryota; Metazoa; Chordata; Mammalia; Carnivora; Felidae. The record is from Rfam by way of RNAcentral.
GCCCAGCUGGCUCAGUAGGUGGAGCAUGGGACUCUAGAUCUCAGGGUCAUGAGUUCAAGCCCCAUGUUGAAUG